RNAcentral lists this ribosomal RNA (868 nucleotides) under uncultured archaeon. RNAcentral describes it as "bacterial SSU rRNA". It matches the Rfam family "Archaeal small subunit ribosomal RNA", at positions 1 to 878 of the family's 1478-position model. The record is from RNAcentral.
UUCCGGUUGAUCCCGCCGGACCCGACUGCUAUCAGAGUGGGACUAAGCCAUGCGAGUCAACGUAGCAAUACGUGGCAUACGGCUCAGUAACACGUAGUCAACAUGCCCAGGGGACGAGGAUAACCUCGGGAAACUGAGGAUAAACCUCGAUAGGCCAUGAUUUCUGAAAUGAUUCUUGGCUCAAACCUAUAUGGCCCCUGGAUUGGACUGCGGCCGAUCAGGCUGUUGGUGAGGUAAUGGCCCACCAAACCUAUUACCGGUACGGGCUCUGAGAGGAGGAGCCCGGAGAUGGGCACUGAGACAAGGGCCCAGGCCCUAUGGGGCGCAGCAGGCGCGAAACCUCUGCAAUAGGCGAAAGCUUGACAGGGUUACUCUGAGUGAUUUCCGCUAAGGGAAUCUUUUGGCACCUCUAAAAAUGGUGCAGAAUAAGGGGUGGGCAAGUCUGGUGUCAGCCGCCGCGGUAAUACCAGCACCCCGAGUGGUCGGGACGAUUAUUGGGCCUAAAGCAUCCGUAGCCGGUCCUGCAAGUCUUCCGUUAAAUCCAGCUGCUCAACAGAUGGGCUGCGGGAGAUACUACAGGGCUAGGAGGCGGGAGAGGCAAGCGGUACUUUAUGGGUAGGGGUAAAAUCCGCUGAUCCAUAGAAGACCACCAGUGGCGAAGGCGGCUUGCCAGAACGCGCUCGACGGUGAGGGAUGAAAGCUGGGGGAGCAAACCGGAUUAGAUACCCGGGUAGUCCCAGCUGUAAACGAUGCAGACUCGGUGAUGGGUUGGCCUCGCGCCUGCCCAGUGCCGCAGGGAAGCCGUUAAGUCUGCCGCCUGGGGAGUACGGUCGCAAGACUGAAACUUAAAGGAAUGGGCGGGGGAGCA